ACGUAGGAGACAAGCGUUAUCCGGAGUUACUGGGCGUAAAGGGCGUGUAGGCGGCCUUCUAAGUGGGUUGUGAAAGCGACUGGCUCAACCGGUCGAGGCCGACCCAGACUGGGAAGCUAGAGGGCGGUAGAGGGGUGUGGAAUUCCGGGUGUAGUGGUGAAAUGCGUAGAGAUCCGGAGGAACACCAGAGGCGAAGGCGACACUCUAGGCCGCACCUGACGCUGAGACGCGACAGCACGGGGAGCGAACGG
RNAcentral lists this ribosomal RNA (251 nucleotides) under uncultured prokaryote. RNAcentral's name for it is "partial 16S ribosomal RNA". It matches the Rfam family "Bacterial small subunit ribosomal RNA", at positions 525 to 775 of the family's 1533-position model. The record is from RNAcentral.